UACGAGGGGGGCAAGCGUUGUUCGGAAUUAUUGGGCGUAAAGGGUGCGUAGGCGGUCUGAUAAGUCAUCUGUGAAAUCUAUGGGCUCAACCCAUAGUCUGCAGGCGAAACUGUCGGGCUUGAGUAUGGGAGAGGUGAGUGGAAUUUCCGGUGUAGCGGUGAAAUGCGUAGAUAUCGGAAGGAACGCCCGUGACGAAAGCGAGGUCCUGGACGUCUGCUGACGCUGAGACGCGAAAGCCAGGGGAGCGAACGGG
RNAcentral lists this ribosomal RNA (253 nucleotides) under uncultured bacterium. RNAcentral describes it as "partial 16S ribosomal RNA". It matches the Rfam family "Bacterial small subunit ribosomal RNA", at positions 524 to 776 of the family's 1533-position model. The record is from RNAcentral.